AAUUCUCAACCUUCCAGCUUUUAUUAGCUUGGUUAGGCUUGGAUGUGGGGGUUGUGGGCUUCAUUAAUGAGGUCAGCUCUCCUUAAAUGCAUUAGCGGAACUUUUGUGGACCGUCUAUUGGUGUGAUAAUUAUCUACGCCGUGGAUGUGAAGCAGCUUUAUAAAGUUCAGCUUCUAAUCGUCCAUUGACUUGGACAAUAUUUGACA
Molecule: unclassified non-coding RNA, 206 nt
Filed under: Laccaria aurantia
Lineage: Eukaryota; Fungi; Basidiomycota; Agaricomycetes; Agaricales; Hydnangiaceae
Description: partial internal transcribed spacer 2
Source: RNAcentral